This is a non-coding RNA of Pan troglodytes (chimpanzee), 1311 nucleotides long. The record is from the annotation of a RefSeq genome assembly. Lineage: Eukaryota; Metazoa; Chordata; Mammalia; Primates; Hominidae.
GAGUCAGCCCCGGAGGCAGGUGCAGAUGGAGGCGUUUCCUGUCAGGAUGUGGGACUUUUCUUCUGACGGUUCCCCAGGGAACCUCUUAAAUUUAGAAAACUGUGCCUAACAAUGUCUUCUCUAUGCAUAUGAGGACCUUUUCUCCCUGGCACAAAAUGCAGAUUGACGCUGACACGGAUGAAAAUUCCUCAACCAUGGUCACAACGAUCAGAGUCCUGAGUAACCUCAGGGCUUCCCGGUGUUCAGUGUGAGGUGGAGCUGAUAGAGCCCGUAGAGGACCUGAGACAACCUGGGAAGUUCCUGAGACUCUCCUGUGUAGCCUCUAGAUUCGCCUUCAGUAGCUUCUGAAUGAGCCGAGUUCACAAGUCUCCAGGCAAGGGGCUGGAGUGAGUAAUAGAUAGAAAAGAUGAUGGAAGUCAGAUACACCAUGCAGACUCUGUGAAGGGCAGAUUCUCCAUCUCCAAAGACAAUGCUAAGAACUCUCUGUAUCUGCAAAUGAACAGUCAGAGAACUGAGGACAUGGCUGUGUAUGGCUGUACAUAAGGUCCCAAGUGAGGAAACAUCGGUGUGAGUCCAGACACAAAAUUUCCUGCAAAAAGAAGAAAGGAGUCUGGGCCAAAGGAGACACUCAGCACUCCCAAAACAGGUGGAUUUUCCCUCUUCUUGCCCAGACUGGAGUGCAAUGGUGCCAUCUCAGCUCACUGCAAUGUCCCCCUCCCAGGUUCAGGGUCCUGCUCACAUGGGAAAUACUUUCUGAGACUCACGGACCUCCUGCACAAGAACAUGAAACACCUGUGGUUCUUCCUCCUGCUGGUGGCAGCUCCCAGAGGGGUCCUGUCCCAGGUGCAGCUGCAGGAGUCGGGCCCAGGACUGGUGAAGCCUUCACAGACCCUGUCCCUCACCUGCGCUGUCUCUGGUGGCUCCAUCACUAGUGGUUAUUACUACUGGAGCUGGAUCCGCCAGCCACCAGGGAAGGGACUGGAGUGGAUUGGGAGUAUCUAUUAUAGUGGGAGCACCUACUACAACCCAUCCCUCAAGAGUCGAGUCACCAUAUCAGUAGACACGUCCAAGAACCAGUUCUCCCUGAAGCUGAGCUCUGUGACCGCCGCGGACACGGCCGUGUAUUACUGUGCGAGAGGCACGGUGAGGGGAGAGAAGAGGCCAUGUGGAGACAUAGUGGACUAGAAGAUGCAAGCCAAGAAGAAGCCGCACCAAGAACCAACCCUGCCAGCACCUGGACCUUGGACAUUCAGACUUCAGAAUGGUGAGAAAAUCAAUGUUUGUUGUUUAAGCCACCCACUCCUGUUGUCU